This 253-nucleotide ribosomal RNA is filed under the name uncultured bacterium. RNAcentral describes it as "partial 16S ribosomal RNA". It matches the Rfam family "Bacterial small subunit ribosomal RNA", at positions 524 to 776 of the family's 1533-position model. The record is from RNAcentral.
UACGGAGGGUGCGAGCGUUGUCCGGAAUCACUGGGCGUAAAGGGCGCGUAGGUGGCUUUUCAAGCGCGCGGUGAAAGCCCGGGGCUCAACCUCGGGCCUGCAGCCGAUACGGGCAGACUAGAGUUCGGCAGGGGAGACUGGAAUUCCUGGUGUAGCGGUGAAAUGCGCAGAUAUCAGGAGGAACACCGGUGGCGAAGGCGGGUCUCUGGGCCGAUACUGACGCUGAGGAGCGAAAGCGUGGGGAGCGAACAGG